GAUAUUCCUGUACUACCGAUAACCGUUUGAGAGAAGGGAUGACACAGUAGGAUAAGCUAAGCACACUGUUGGUUAUGUGUGCCCAAGCAUUGAGGCAGUCAAAGCAGGCAAAUCCGCUUUGAUAAUGCUGGGAUGUGAUGGGGAGCGAAAUUUAGUAGCGAAGUAGCUGAUUUCACACUGUCAAGAAAAGUCUCUAUCGAGGUUAAAGGUACCCGUACCGCAAACCGACACAGGUGGGUGAGGAGAGUAUCCUAAGGCCAGCGAGAGAACUGUUGUUAAGGAACUCGGCAAAAUGACCCCGUAACUUAGGGAUAAGGGGUGCCACCAUCCGGUGGCCGCAGAGAAUAGGCCCAAGCGACUGUUUACCAAAAACAUAGGUUUCUGCUAAGUCGCAAGACGAUGUAUAGGAGCUGACGCCUGCCCGGUGCUGGAAGGUUAAGGGGAUCUGUUAGAGCAAUCGAAGCAGUGAACUUAAGCCCCAGUAAACGGCGGCCGUAACUAUAACGGUCCUAAGGUAGCGAAAUUCCUUGUCGGGUAAGUUCCGACCCGCACGAAAGGCGUAACGAUUUGGGCACUGUCUCAACAACAGACUCGGUGAAAUUGUAAUUCCGGUGAAGAUGCCGGAUACCUGCGACAGGACGGAAAGACCCCAUGGAGCUUUACUGUAGCUUGACAUUGGGUCUUGGUACUACAUGUACAGGAUAGGUGGGAGGCUUUGAAACCAGGACGCCAGUUUUGGCGGAGCCAUCCUUGGGAUACCACCCUUGUAGUACUGGGACUCUAACCAUAGGCCAUGAAUCUGGUCUUGGGACACUGUCAGGUGGGCAGUUUGACUGGGGCGGUCGCCUCCCAAAAGGUAACGGAGGCGCUCAAAGGUUCUCUCAGUACGGUCGGAAAUCGUACGUAGAGUGUAAAGGCAAAAGAGAGCUUGAUUGCAAGACAUACAGGUCGAGCAAGGAUGAAAAUCGGACUUAGUGAUCCGGUGGUUCUGCGUGGAAGGGCCAUCGCUCAACGGAUAAAAGCUACCCUGGGGAUAACAGGCUUAUCUCCCCCAAGAGUCCACAUCGACGGGGAGGUUUGGCACCUCGAUGUCGGCUCAUCACAUCCUGGGGCUGUAGUAGGUCCCAAGGGUUGGGCUGUUCGCCCAUUAAAGUGGUACGCGAGCUGGGUUCAGAACGUCGUGAGACAGUUCGGUCCCUAUCCGUCGCAGGCGUAGGAAAUUUGAGAAGACCUGUCCUUAGUACGAGAGGACCGGGAUGGACGUACCUCUGGUGUACCAGUUGUUCUGCCAAGGGCAUGGCUGGGUAGCUAUGUACGGAAUGGAUAAGCGCUGAAAGCAUCUAAGCGCGAAGCCAACUUCAAGAUAAGAUUUCCCACCGCAAGGGUAAGACCCCAGAAAGACUAUCUGGUUGAUAGGUCGAAGGUGUAAGUGCAGCAAUGUAUUUAGCUUAUCGAUACUAAUAG
RNAcentral lists this ribosomal RNA (1464 nucleotides) under Clostridioides difficile. Its description in RNAcentral is "partial 23S ribosomal RNA". It matches the Rfam family "Bacterial large subunit ribosomal RNA", at positions 1432 to 2907 of the family's 2925-position model. The record is from RNAcentral. Lineage: Bacteria; Bacillati; Bacillota; Clostridia; Peptostreptococcales; Peptostreptococcaceae.